GACGAACGCUGGCGGCGUGCUUAACACAUGCAAGUCGAACGGAAAGGCCCUGCUUUUGUGGGGUGCUCGAGUGGCGAACGGGUGAGUAACACGUGAGUAACCUGCCCUUGACUUUGGGAUAACUUCAGGAAACUGGGGCUAAUACCGGAUAGGAGCUCCUGCUGCAUGGUGGUGGUUGGAAAGUUUCGGCGGUUGGGGAUGGACGCGCGGCUUAUCAGCUUGUUGGUGGGGUAGUUGCUUACCAAGGCUUUGACGGGUAGCCGGCCUGAGAGGGUGACCGGCCACAUUGGGACUGAGAUACGGCCCAGACGCCUACGGGAGGCAGCAGUGGGGAAUAUUGCACAAUGGGCGGAAGCCUGAUGCAGCAACGCCGCGUGCGGGAUGACGGCCUGCGGGUUGUAAACCGCUGUCGCCUGUGACGAAGCGUGAGUGACGGUAAUGGGUAAAGAAGCACCGGCUAACUACGUG
RNAcentral lists this ribosomal RNA (468 nucleotides) under uncultured bacterium. RNAcentral describes it as "partial 16S ribosomal RNA". It matches the Rfam family "Bacterial small subunit ribosomal RNA", at positions 28 to 507 of the family's 1533-position model. The record is from RNAcentral.